Molecule: ribosomal RNA, 301 nt
Filed under: uncultured bacterium
Lineage: Bacteria
Description: partial 16S ribosomal RNA
Rfam family: Bacterial small subunit ribosomal RNA
Source: RNAcentral
CAGCAGCCACGGUAAUACGUAGGUGGCAAGCGUUGUCCGGAAUUAUUGGGCGUAAAGGGCUCGCAGGCGGUUUCUUAAGUCUGAUGUGAAAGCCCCCGGCUCAACCGGGGAGGGUCAUUGGAAACUGGGAAACUUGAGUGCAGAAGAGGAGAGUGGAAUUCCUCGUGUAGCGGUGAAAUGCGUAGAGAUGUGGAGGAACACCAGUGGCGAAGGCGACUCUCUGGUCUGUAACUGACGCUGAGGAGCGAAAGCGUGGGGAGCGAACAGGAUUAGAUACCCGAGUAGUCCCUGUCUCUUAUAC